Molecule: non-coding RNA, 135 nt
Organism: Brachypodium distachyon (stiff brome)
Lineage: Eukaryota; Viridiplantae; Streptophyta; Magnoliopsida; Poales; Poaceae
Source: Rfam
UUACUACUCCCUCCGAACCAAAUUAAUUGUCGCAAUUUUGUCUAGAUAUGCAUGUACUAGACAUAUUAUAAUGUGUAGGUACAUAUGUAUCUACACAAAGAUGCGACAACUAAUUUGGAUCGGAGGGAUUAGUAA